GGUCAAUACCUGGGGAAAGUUUGUUUUGAAAACAAACUCUAAGUGUUCGAAUCACUUGUUGACUU
Molecule: transfer RNA, 65 nt
Filed under: Nodopelta heminoda
Lineage: Eukaryota; Metazoa; Mollusca; Gastropoda; Neomphalida; Peltospiridae
Description: tRNA-Ser
Source: RNAcentral